RNAcentral lists this long non-coding RNA (26012 nucleotides) under Triticum aestivum (bread wheat). RNAcentral describes it as "long non-coding RNA (TAES_LNC015610)". Lineage: Eukaryota; Viridiplantae; Streptophyta; Magnoliopsida; Poales; Poaceae. The record is from RNAcentral.
UUGCUUGCGAUGAUCGGUGUAGUAACUGGAAUUGCUCAGUCCAUUGAUGAUAAGAGUAGAAGACAACGCCUGAUCAAGUGACAGUGGUAUCGAAUCUUUAUUUGCAUUCCUUUUUCUUUUUCUGGUGUAAUAAGAGAGAGACUCAGAGUUCACAUAUUUGCAGGAGGCAAGAUGAUAAGUUAGCAUUUGAGGGAAUUUUGUCAAGGGAAAAAGUUUUUUAUUUAUUUUCAAGCUGAGCUCAGUUGAACUGCGGCAAGAGAAAUUGGCAUUAUUAUUCUGGUAAAUUGUAAUGUUUGAGCUCUGUAAACAUUAGAAAAAUCGGCAGUCACUUGUUUGUCAUAUGCCCUUGUUCUGCAAGUGCCACAUUUCACUCUCAUUGUGAAGAUGGCCUAAAUUCCAAAAUUUGCUGCUUAAUUAUACGAAUGGUCAAACACAUGUGUACAUGAUUGGUUUGCUGCCCUUGUGUUUACUACUGUCACUGUGCCCUUGUGUUUACUACUGUCAAUUUCCUUUGCCUUUCUGCAUCAACAGGGUUGACCAUAAGUUCAAAUUGCAUGGCAAACAGGUUUUGCAAUCUGCUGCUGAGUACUGACAUGAGAUGAACUUGUAAUACCUGACACAAGAAAGUUCACCCGGCCAUUAAGAUUUCAGUCUGAUAUGACCACAGAAUGCCUAAAUUAACUUUCUUCCUUGUUGAUGCAGGCAUCAAAGAUCAAAGAAGCUUCUGCAAGGUCUAAGCAAAGCUGCCCAUCAUCCGAGCAGGCUCCCACAAUGUGCUUGUUAGCCCAAAGGCCCCCUAACUGAGGAGUGGUUCCGCAAAUCGCAGAAUGACAAGGAGGACAGGACGGGCAGGCGUGCCGCCGAACAAGAUCGGGCAUCGGAACAUAUUGCACAAGAUGUCGCGUGGGCGCGCGCCCUUCCAAGUUCGGAUCCCAGGUGCGUUUUGUCAAAGCGAAAUCCGAACGAUUCUCCUCUUUGGGUGCAUGGUAUUGGAGGCAAAGGCACCCAGCCAAGCACUCUGGCUGCGUACUCUCUGUGACUGAGAGGUCUCUGUUAUCUUAAUCUGAUGUGCGAGCAGCGCGUGCGCUAAUAGUAAUGCCUUCUUUCUGGGUCAAGUAGGUACAUAGCUGGAGGCGUCUCAGUGGAAGAGGAGGAUGCUGGUGCUGUAUAGAAUUCAAUGCAAAGCUGGCUGGCGGCGACGGAUUGUACGGAGACGGAGACGGGCAGCCAAGUCAGUCAAGCAUGCAUGCGCCUACCUGGCUCGCUCGGAAAAGCAGUGUAAAGGAAAAAAAAAGGGUAAAGCGCUUGCUUGCUUGCUGUAGGUGCUAGGCUUCCUUGGUUUUCUGGAUCCGAAUGAUGCUUUUUGGGAUGCUUCCAAACUUUGUUGGACCGCUCAUACUUCAUUUCGAUUCAAGGGCAAAACAUUUCCUAGCUUGCCAUUUCUUAUUUGGUGUUGUAGCUUGCCUUUUAAUUAGAACAAUUGGUGUCGUCCAUGCAUCAACAUAAGGAAAAGGCGAUCUGGAACGGCGCUUAGCCAUGCUGACACACACUACACCUAAUCUUGCUCAUUAGGUUGAAAUAUACAAUCACCAGAUUGGUAACUAGAUCAGCCUCUUCGUACGUAAAAUGUAACAUCCAGAUAAGGUCGGGGCGGAGAGAAACAAAUGUGGCUANNNNNNNNNNNNNNNNNNNNNNNNNNNNNNNNNNNNNNNNNNNNNNNNNNNNNNNNNNNNNNNNNNNNNNNNNNNNNNNNNNNNNNNNNNNNNNNNNNNNNNNNNNNNNNNNNNNNNNNNNNNNNNNNNNNNNNNNNNNNNNNNNNNNNNNNNNNNNNNNNNNNNNNNNNNNNNNNNNNNNNNNNNNNNNNNNNNNNNNNNNNNNNNNNNNNNNNNNNNNNNNNNNNNNNNNNNNNNNNNNNNNNNNNNNNNNNNNNNNNNNNNNNNNNNNNNNNNNNNNNNNNNNNNNNNNNNNNNNNNNNNNNNNNNNNNNNNNNNNNNNNNNNNNNNNNNNNNNNNNNNNNNNNNNNNNNNNNNNNNNNNNNNNNNNNNNNNNNNNNNNNNNNNNNNNNUUUUUGCAUAGAGCUUCUGUAGCAAAUUGUCCGUGAUGAGAGUGGAUAACAGCCGACACUGACGAGGAUCUGGCUUGUAUUAGUGUGACACCUGAAUAAUUAAGCUACGUGAACCUUCACAAAUGAUGCCACGUCACCUCGGUUACUGUUGAUAAACUCGCGUUGGUUUGAAACCGAUUCAAAUUCAAAUUCAAAAUCAAGUCAAACGGUAAAGUCUUUCAAAUAUUAAAACUAAAAUAUUCGGGUCCAAAUAAUGCAUAGGUAAUUAUGGUGGAGAAACCACCGUUUUAUGAAAGGAGUAAAUAAUCUAAAAUGAAUAAAAACAUAGAAAACCAAUUAUUUAAAUGAUUUUAAAUAAUAAAUAAAUAUUAAACUAGUUUAUUUGACCACCAAACUUUUUAUGGUAGAGAGUUGUUUCGACCUUAUUUUAGGAGCUAUGGUCAUAUUUUAUAAAAAUUAAAAUAAACUGUGACUAAAAUAAAACAGAAAAUAAUAAAUAAAAGGAAAGAAAAACAAAGAAGCAAAAAAGGGAAUAACCCCCUCUCCCCGCUGGGCCUCGGCCCAACUAAUAGGCCGGCCGGCCCAACCGGCCACCCUGCUCGCCUGGCCUACUAAGACCCCGCUACCCCCACCGUGACCUAACCCAUUCUCCCACGAUCCCUCCCCCCUCGAUCCACUCCUCCCUCUCCCUCCCCAUUCUAGAUCGGGGCGCUCGGGCGCUCGACCCAGCCGACGCCUUCGCCAUUUCCGCGCACCGGCGCCACCCCAAGCUACACUAGGUUAGGCAGAAGCCUCGCCGCCCUCCCCUACAUCGCUUACAAGGACUAGCUCGAGCUCCUCACCCCUGCAUCAAGCUGCUCGCCGUCGUCUUCCACCUCGGAUCCGGAGAUCACUGUCGUUGCUUCGUCGUCUCCAAUGACUCCCUGUGCUCGCCGAGCCUUCCAUGUGCUCCGUUGUGAGCCCCUAUGCCGAUUCCCCUCCUUUCCCCCCUUCGUUUCGAUGUCGUAGGACAUUGUCACCGUCGCUCCCGAAGCUCCACGCGCCCGCACACCCUCUGUCCGCACUGCGAGCCGCCGUCCAUGCACUGCACGUGCGCGUGCACCCAUUGUCGGUGUCAAAACCGGCGGAUCUCGGAUAGGGGGUCCCGAACUGUGCGUCUAAGGUUGAUGGUAACAGGAGGCGGGGGACACGAUGUUUACCCAGGUUCGGGCUCUCUCUAUGGAGGCAAUACCCUAUUUCCUACUUGAUUGAUCUGGAUGAAUAUGAGUAUUACAAGAGUUGAUCUACCACGAGAUCGUAAUGGCUAAAACCCUAGAAGUCUAGCAUGUAUGAUUAUGAUUAUGAUCGGCUCUACAGACUAAGCCCUCCGGUUUAUAUAGACACCGGAGGGGACUAGGGUUGUACAAAGUCGGUUACAGAGAAAAGAAUCUUCAUAUCCGGGCGCCAAGCUUGCCUUCCACGACAAGGAAAGUCCCAUCCGGAUACGGGAGAGAGUCUUCUGUCUUGUAUCUUCACGACCCAACAGUCCGGCCCAUGCUACAUAGUCCGGCCGUUCGAGGACCCCUUAAUCCAGAACUCCCUCAGUAGCCCCUGAACCAGGCUUCAAUGACGAGGUGUCCGGCGCGCGAAUUGUCUUCGACAUUGCAAGGUGGGUUCCUCCUUCGAAUACUCCAAAGCAUCCUUCGAACACAGAAAACGUGUCCGGCUCUGCAAAACAAGUACCCCACACAACCACAGAGAGUACAGUAUUUCACGAGUCCAAUCCGCUGACAACUUUUUGUAGCGUGACAUCACGUCGCCACCCGGCCAUUAUUUCAAACUGUUUUUAGCCUGCCGCUCCAUAUUUUGAGAUGCGAUUUCAUUGCCACGUCUUGUCAAAGCAGAGAUCAUGUCCCCUUAUUGCGGGAUUCUCAUCAAUAGGGCUGUGGGUAACCCAACCGUGCCGUAUGCACGACCCUUGGGGAACAGGCGAGUUUUAAGGUGAGUGGGGAGGCGCUUGAUAUUCACUGCCUUUAUAAAGAGAUAAGGAUUUACCCCUUUCACCCACGCCUUCUCUCUCUGCCUCCCCCAUUCUCGAGCUCCAGCACCCAAGUUCUCAUCUUUUCCGCCCCAAGAAAGCACUCCAACCAUGUUCGGAUCUGGAGCGUAGGACAAGUGGAUGGUCUCCUGCGUCAAGGAGAAGGACAUUACGAAGCUCUGGGAGGCUGGGUAUUUGGCCGAGGAAAUCGCCCACCGGCUUCUGGCCAAGGGACAGAUCGUCCCCACCCCGGAGCCCCAUGAGAGGGUGGUGUUCAUCCCCCACUUCAUCCGUGGGAUGGGAUUUCCUCUCCACCCAUUCGUCCGCGGACUCAUGUUCUACUACGGGCUAGAUUUUCAUGAUCUAGCCCCAAAUUCUUUCCUCAACAUCUCAGCAUUCAUUGUCGUGUGCGAGGCUUUCCUCCGCAUCCCGUCCCACUUCGAAUUGUGGUUAAAGAUCUUCAAUGUGAAGUCGAAGGUGGUGAGUGGCCAACACGCAGAGUGCGGAGGCGCCAUGGUGAGCAAGAUACCCAACGUCACAUGGCCCGAAGGCUCCUUCAUGGAGACCGUCAAAGGGUGGCAGCAAUCGUGGUUCUAUAUCACAGAACCGCGCGACACCACCUGAGCCGCGGCUCCUGAAUUCCAGUCCGGAGGCCGGAUGCGGCUCACCUCAUGGCUAGAGAAGGGCUUGGAUUGGUCUUUGUUGGACGAGCUAACAGCACUUCAGACGCGCAUCAAGAGCACGAUAGACAAGAAUAUCAAGCUUGUCAAUGUGAUCCAGGUGAUGCUUGUUCACCGGAUCCUAUCGUGCCAAAGCCGAACUUGCCAUUUGUGGAAGUAUGAUCCGGCCAAGCACCAGACCUUGCUGCGGUUCCUCGGCACUAUGCACGAAGACAUCUAGAAGGUGCUUUUCAAGUCCAACGAGAUGUGGCCGGAUACGACAGAGGACCGUGGGCACGACUUGGCCCAUCCCGCUAGUCCGGUAAGUUUUUUCAUGUUUUCAAGGUGUAUCCUUUACUUGCAUACUCGAGGAAGAUGCCUAAGCCUCCCUACUGAUUCUCUCAGGGCUGGACAAAGAAGGUGGAGCAGAUUCACUGUCCGGCUCCGCUGCCCGAAGACCCAACAAUUCCACUUCUGACGAAGAUGCUGGUUCCGGCGCCCUAUCAAGCGCCGGAGAAGAAGGCCAAGAAGAAGGCCAAGGAUACCAGAGGUGGCCUCCGUCGCAAGGGUGCUUCGGACGUGACGUCCAAAGACACCGAUACUCACUCUUUUGCCGCCGGGGAUGAAGAGGAGGAGAAGGAAGAAUAAGAAAGCCAUUCCCCCGCUUGGGGGGGGGGGAGAAAGAAAAGGACGACCUCCACGCGUCUGGAGGCCGAAGCGUCCAAGAAGGGGAAGGCUUCCCUCCCGGACAACUCCACAGCGGACACCGACAACAGCUCGGAAUGGCACCCUAGGGAUAAGCCCCUCGCUAAUUCGUAAGUACCCGAAGAUGCACUCAUAUAUCCGGCCAUUUUCCUUCAUGGUUUUAACAUGUCAAAUCAUGUGUUGCAGCCCGGCUCGGUCCGACCUCGAGCGAUCCUCAUCUUCGGGGGAUUCGCUAGACCCGAAGGCGAUGGACUGCAGGUCCCUUCUAGCGGCCUCCUCUCCCAAGGCCAUGGAUGACACCGAGGUGUUAUUUGAUGUCUACUAUGCAACCUUCUCCUUGUACACGUUGUUGGGCCUCCAAGUGCAGAGGUUUGUAAGACAGUAGCAAAUUUCUCUCAAGUGGAUGACCUAAGGUUUAUCAAUCCGUCGGAGGUGUAGGAUGAAGAUGGUCUCUCUCAAACAACCCUGCAACCAAAUAACAAAGAGUCUCUUGUGUCCCCAACACACCCAAUACAAUGGUAAAUUGUAGGUGCACUAGUUCGGCGAAGAGAUGGUGAUACAAGUGCAAUAUGGAUGGUAGAUAUAGAGUUUUUGUAAUCUGAAAAUAUAAAAAUAGCAAGGUAACUAAUGAUAAGAGUGAGCGUAAACGGUAUUGCAAUGCUAGGAAACAAGGCCUAGGGUUCAUACUUUAACUAGUGCAAGUUCUCUCAACAAUAAUAACAUAAUUGGAUCAUAUAGCAAUCCCUCAACAUGCAACAAAGAGUCACUCCAAAGUCACUAAUAGCGGAGAACAAACGAAGAGAUUAUUGUAGGAUACGAAACCACCUCAAAGUUAUUCUUUCUGAUUGAUCUAUUCAAGAGUCCAUAGUAAAAUAACACGAAGCUAUUUUUUCUGUUCGAUCUAUCCUAGAGUUCGUACUAGAAUAACACCUUAAGAUACAAAUCAACCAAAACCCUAAUAUCACUUAGAUACUCUAAUGUCACCUCAAGUACCCGUGGGUAUGAUUAUACGAUAUGCAUCACACAAUCUCAGAUUCAUCUAUUCAACCAACACAAAGUACUUCAAAGAGUGCCCCAAAGUUUCUACCGAAGAGUCAAGACAAAAAUGUGUGCCAACCCCUAUGCAUAAGUUCACAAAGUCACUGAACCCGCAAGUUGAUCACCAAAACAUACAUCAAGUAGAUCACGUGAAUAUCACAUUGACACCACAGAUAAGCACAUGCAAGACAUACACCAAGUGUUCUCAAAUCCUUAAAGACUCAAUCCGAUAAGAUAACUUCAAAGGGAAAACUCAAUCCAUUACAAGAGAGUAGAGGGGGAGAAACAUCAUAAGAUCCAGCUAUAAUAGCAAAGCUCGCGGUACAUCAAGAUUGUGCCAUAUCAAGAGCACGAGAGAGAGAGAGAGAGAGAGAGAGAGAGAGAGAGAGAGAGAGAGAUCAAACACAAAGCUACUGGUACAUACCCUCAGCCCCGAGGGUGAACUACUCCCUCCUCGUCAUGGAGAGCGCCGGGAUGAUAAAGAUGGCCACCGGUGAGGGAUCAUCCCUCCGACAGGGUGCCGGAACAGGGUCCCGAUUGUUUUUUCGUGGCUACAAAGGCUUGCAGUGGCGGAACUCCUGAUCUAGGUUUCUUUCUGGGGGUUUCUGUAUUUAUAGGAAUUUUUGGCGUCGGUUUCACGUCAGGGGGGUCUCCGAGUCGUCCACGAGAUAGGGGGGCGCACCCUCCACCCUCGUGGACGGGACUCUUCUGACCCAAUUCUUUUACUCCGGGGGCUUCUUUUGGUCCAUAAAAAUUCAUCUAAAAUUGGCAUGUCAAUUGGACUCCGUUUGGUAUUCCUUUUCUGUAAAACUCAAAAACAAGGAAAAAACAAAAACUGGCACUGGGCUUUAGGUUAAUAGGUUAGUCCCAAAAAAAUCAUAUAUAAUAGCAUAUAAAUGCAUAUGAAACAUCUUAGAUGGAUAAUAUAAUAUCAUGGAACAAUAAAAAAUUAUAGAUACGUUGGAGAUGUAUCAAGCAUCCCCAAGCUUAAUUCCUACUCGUCCUCGAGUAGGUAAAUGAUAAAAACAGAAUUUUUGAUGUGGAAUGCUACCUAGCAUAUUUAUCCAUGUAAUUCUCUUUAUUGUGGCAAGAAUAUUCAGAUCCAUAAGAUUCAAAACAAAAGUUUAAUAUUGAAAUAAAAAUAGUAAUACUUCAAGCAUGCUAACUAAGCAGUUUAUGUCUUAUCAAAAUAACAUAGCCAAAGAAAGCUUAUCCCUACAAAAUCAUAUAGUUUGGCCAUGCUUCAUUUUCGUCACACAAAAUGCUCCCAUCAUGCACAACCCCAGUUUCAGCCAAGCAAUUGGUUCAUAUUUUUAACGCGCUUCAGCCUUUUCAACCCUCAUGCAAUACAUGAGCGUAAGCCAUGGACAUAGCACUAUGGGUUGAGUAGAGUAUGCUGAUAGGGAUUAUGUGAGAAAACAAAAAAAGGAGAAAGUCUCACAUUGACGCGGCUAAUCAACGGGCUAUGGAGAUGCCCAUCAACUGAUGUCAAUACGAGGAGUAGGAAUUUUCAUGCAACAGAUGCACUAGAGCUAUAAAUGUAUGAAAGCUCAUCAAAAAGAAACUAAGUGGGUGUGCAUCCAACUUGCCUGCUCACGAAGACCUAGGGAAUUUUGAGGAAACCCAUCACUGGAAUAUACAAGCCAAGUUGUAUAAUGAAAAAUUCCCACUAGUAUAUGAAAGUGGCAAAAUAAGAAACUCUCUAUCAUGAAGAUCAUGGUGCUAUUUUGAAGCACAAGUGUGGAAAAAGGAUAGUAACAUUGUCCCUUCUCUCUUUCUCUCUCUUUUUUUAUUUGGGCUUCUUUGGCCUCUUUUUUUCAUCCUUUUUAUUUUUAUUUCUCUCUCUCUCUUUUUAUUUCGUCCGGAGUCUCAUCCUGACUUGUGGGGGAAUCAUAAUCUCCAUCAUCCUUUCCUCACAUGGGAAAAUGCUCUAAUAAUGGAAAUCAUCACACUUCUAUUUAUUUACAACUCAAUACUUAGGACAAAAUAUGACUCUAUGUGAAUGCCUCCGGUGGUGUACCGGGAUAUGCAAUGAAUCAAGAGUGACAUGUAUGAAAGAAUUAUAAAGGUGGCUUUUCCACAAAUACGAUGUCAACUACAUGAUCAUGCAAAGCAAUAUGACAAUGAUGGAGCGUGUCGUAAUAAACGGAAGGUGGAAAGUUGCAUGGCAAUAUAUCUCGGAAUGGCUAUGGAAAUGCCAUAAUAGGUAGGUAUGGUGGCUGUUUUGAGGAAGAUAUAAGGAGGUUUAUGUGUGAUAGAGCAUAUCCUAUCAUGGGGUUUGGAUGCACAGGCGAAGUUUGCACCAACUCUCAAGGUGAGAAAGGGCAAUGCACGGUACCGUAGAGGCUAGCAAAUUUCAGAAGGGUAAGAGUGCGUAUAAUCCAUGGACUCACAUUAGUCAUAAAGAACUCAUAUACUUAUACAAAAGUUUAUUAGCCCUCGAAGAAAAGUACUACUACUCAUGCUCCUAGGGGAAGGGUUGGUAGGAGUUAACCAUCACGCGAUCCCGACCUCCACUCAUAAGGAAGGCAAUCAAAGAACACCCCAUGCUUCAAAUUUGUCACGCAACGUUCACCAUACGCGUAUGCUACGAGACUUGCCAAUUUUAACACAAGUAUUUCUCAAUUUCAUAAUUACCCAACUAGCAUGACUCUAACAUUACCACCUUUAUGUCUCAAAACAAUCAUAAAGAAUCAAACUUCUCAUAGUAUUCAAUGCACUUUAUAUGAAAGUUUUUAUUAUAUCCUUCUUGGAUGCCCAUCAUAUUAGGACUAAUUUUAUAACCAAAGAAAAUUACCAUGCUGUUCAAGACUCUCAAAAUAAUAUAAGUGAAGCAUGAGAGUUCAUCUAUUUCUUCAAAAUAAAACCACCACCGUGCUCUAAAAAGAUAUAAGUGAAGCACUAGAGCAAAUGACAAACUACUCCGAAAGAUAUAAAUGAAGAUCAAUGAGUAGUCGAAUAAUUAUGCAACUAUGUGAAGACUCUCUAACAUUUAAGAAUUCAGAUCUUGGGAUAUUAUUCAAACAGCAAGAAAAACAAAAUAAAACAAAAUGACGCUCCAAGCAAAACACAUAUCAUGUGGUGAAUAAAAAUAUAGCUCCAAGUAAAGUUACCGAUGAACGAAGACGAAAGAGGGGAUGCCAUCUGGGAAAUCCCCAAGCUUAGGCUCUUGGUUGUCCUUGGAUAUUACCUUGGGGUGCCUUGGGCAUCCCAAAGCUUAGGCUCCUUCUACUCCUUAUUCCAUAGUCCAUUGAAUCUUCACCCAAAACUUGAAAACUUCACAACACAAAACUCAACAAAAAACUCAUAAGCUCCGUUAGUAUAAGAAAAUAAAACCACCACUUAGGUACUGUUGUGAACUCAUACUAAAUUCAUAUUGAUGUAAUACCUACUGUAUUCCAACUUCUCUAUGGUUUAUACCCACCGAUACUACUCAUAGAUUCAUCAAAAUAAGCAAACAACAUGAUGAAAACAGAACCUGUCAAAAAUAGAACAACCUGUAGUAAUCUGUAUCAAACGUAUACUUCUGGAUAGUCCUGGCCAUCUCAGGCCUGGCCCUGUCGGCCCACCCAGGCCCGGCCCUAAAAUCCAGGGCCUAGGCCUGAUGGGCUUGCUCAUGGGCCGGGCUUGGGCCUAAGUUUUGAGCCCACCAGCAGGGCCUAGACGGGCUUGGGCAUGGCAUAUUGGCAUUUUAAGGAAGAGGCCUGGCCCACGACCCUAAGCCCUAAGGGCUUUUGAGGGAUUUUUACCAGAUGGGUCGGGCUUGGGCUUGAAAAGUAGGCCCAAUGGUAGGGUCUGGGAGGGCCUGGGCCUCAGUUUUCUACCGUGGGCUUUUUUAGGCCUGGCCCAAGCCCGGACCGGCCCAACCCAUGGCCAGAUAUACUUCUGGAACACCAAAAAUUCUGAAAUAAAUUGCUGGACCUGAGGAAUUUGUCUAUUAAUCAUCUUCAAAAAGAAUUAACCUAAAAGUACUCUCCAGUAAAAAAUGGCAGCUAAUCUCGUGAGCGCAAAAGUUUCUUUUUUUUACAGCAAGAUCGCAUAGACUUCACCCAAGUCUUCCCAAAGGUUCUACUUGGCACAAACACUAAUUAAAACAUAAAACCACAUCUAAACAGAGGCUAGAUGAAUUACUUAUUACUAAACAGAAGCAAAAGGCAAAGAACAACAAUAAAAUUGGGUUGCCUCCCAACAAGCGCUAAAGUUUAAAGCCCCUAGCUAGGCAUGAUGAUUUCAAUGAUAUUCACAUAAAAGAUAAGAAUUGACACAUAAAGAGAGCAUCAUGAAACACAUGGCAAGCACAUUUAAGUCUAACUCACUUCCUAUGCAUAGGGAUUUUGUGAGCAAAGAACUUAUGGGAACAAUAAUCAACUAACAUAGGAAGGCAAAACAAGCAUAACUUUAAAAUUUUAAGCACGUAGAGAGGAAACUUGAUAUUAUUGCAAUUCCUACAAGCAUAUAGUCCUCCCUCAUAAUAAUUUUCAGUAGCAUCAUGAAUGAACUCAACAAUAUAACCAUUACAUAAAGCAUUCUUUUCAUGAUCUACAAGCAUAGAAAUUUUAUUACUCUCCACAUAAGCAAAAUUCUUCUCAUUCGGAAUAGUGGGAGUAUCAUAAGAGACUCGAAUACUAUAAAUUGUUUCCACAUUAAAAGAGUAAUGCUCAGAAAAUGGGUAAUCAUAAUCAUGACAAGUUUUAUAAAUAUAAUCAUCACUAUUUUUUAUAGCAUAAGUGUUAUCACAAUAAUCAUCAUAAAUAGGAGGCAUGCUAUCAUCAUAAUAAAUUUGCUCAUCAAAACUUGGGAGGCUAAAAAUAUCAUCUUCAUUGAACAUAGCAUCCCCAAGCUUGGGACAAACAUUAAUUAUAGAAAAUAAAUUCUCCAACAUGUCAUUCUCAUCAAACAUAGCAUCCCCAAGCUUGGGCGUUUUCAUAUCAUAAGCAUAAUCACUCUCAUCAUUAAUAGUAUGGAUAGCACCAAUAAUAUAGCAAUUAUCAUCAUCACAAUGAGUAACGGGAGCAACAUCAUUUGGGAGGGGUUUCUUUUUUACCUUUGCUUCUACAUCUUUUCUUUUUCUUCUUCGCAUCAUGUGUGGGGUUAACCCUCUUUUUGGAGCUCCUUAUUAAUGAGAUUGGUUGGAUAGAAGGCUCCUCCUCGUUACCCAAUUCAUCAUAAGAAAGAACAGGAGGAUAUUGGGAAAUAUCUUCCCUUUCAUUAGUAUUCUCUUCAUCUUCUAUUUGUUUUCUUGAUUUUAUGUAAUUGGCAAUGUAAGGAUUUUCAAUGCAAUUCACCGCACAAUACAUAUAAAUUUUCUCUAGAUCAAAAUCAAGGACAAACUCUGGAAGAUUCUUAGUUAAACGUUUCAUUUCUUCAUAACUCAUAAGCAAAGUAAGUUGUGCAAUGGAAAUUAAGUCAUCACAAUUUUUGGACAUGAUUCGAUCAUGAAACAAUUUUCAUUGGGUAUUUAAAUGAUCACGUUCAUUGCAAAGUUCACAAGGAUGGCAAAGAAAUUUUAAAUUUUCAGCACAAACUUCUAGCCUCUCUUGCAACGAUUUAGUUUCUAAAUACUUAUGCCUCUUGCAAAAUCUAUCUUCCCUAUUUGGUGUGUACUUGCAAACUCUAUGCACUCCACAAAAGUCGACAUGCUUAUAAGAGACAUUUUCAUCAUGACUAGUGCAAUCAUCAUUAAUACUAUGGAUAUUCAAAGAGUUCAUACUAAUAACAUUGCAAUCAUGCUCAUUAUUCAAAGAUUUAGUGCCAAAACAUUCUAAUGCAUUCUUCUUCUAACACUUUGGCACAAUUAUCGGAAUCCUUAUUUUCAUGAAAGAUAUUAAAAAGAUGAAGCAUAUGAGGCACCCUCAAUUCCAUUUUUUGUAGUUUUCUUUUAUAAACUUAACUAGUGAUAAAACAAGAAACUAAAAGAUUCGAUUGCAGGAUCUAAAGAUAUACCUUCAAGCACUCACCUCCCCGGCAACGGCGCCAGAAAAGAGCUUGAUGCCUACUACGCAACCUUCUCCUUGUAGACGUUGUUGGGCCUCCAAGUGCGGAGGUUUGUAGGACAGUAGCAAAUUUCCCUCAAGUGGAUGACCUAAGGUUUAUCAAUCCGUGGGAGGUGUAGGAUGAAGAUGGUCUCUCUCAAACAACCCUACAAACAAAUAACAAAGAGUCUCUUCUGUCCCCAACACACCCAAUACAAUGGUAAAUUGUAUAGGUGCACUAGUUCGGCGAAGAGAUGGUGAUACAAGUGCAAUAUGGAUGGUAGAUGUAGGUUUUUGUAAUCUGAAAAUAUAAAAACAGCAAGGUCACUAAAGAUAAAAGUAAGCGUAAACGGUAUUGCAAUGCUAGGAAACAAGGCCUAGGGUUCAUACUUUCACUAGUGCAAGUUCUCUCAACAAUAAUAACAUAAUUGGAUCAUAUAACAAUCCCUCAACAUGUAACAAAGAGCCACUCAAAGUUAUUGUAUCAUAUAACAAUCACUAAUAGCAGAGAAAAAACGAAGAGAUUAUUGUAGGGUACGAAACCACCUCAAAGUUAUUCUUUUUGAUCGAUCUAUUCAAGAGUCCAUAGUAAAAUAACACGAAGCUAUUCUUUCCGUUUGAUCUAUCCUAGAGUUCAUAGGAGAAUAACACCUUAAGACACAAAUCAACCAAAACCCCAAUGUCACCUAGAUACUCCAAUGUCACCUUAAGUAUCCAUGGGUAUGAUUAUACGAUAUGCAUCACACAAUCUCAGAUUCAUCUAUUCAACCAACACAAAAUACUUCAAAGAGUGCUCCAAAGUUUCUACCGGAGAGUCAAGACAAAAACGUGUGCCAACCCUUAUGCGUAAGUUCACAUGGUCACCGAACCUGCAAGUUGAUCACCAAAACACACAUCAAGUAGAUCACGUGAAUAUCCCAUUGUCACCACAGAUAAGCACAUGCAAGACAUACAUAAAGUGUUCUCAAAUCCUUAAAGACUCAAUCUGAUAAGAGAACUUCAAUGGGAAAACUCAAUCCAUUACAAGAGAGUAGAGGGGGAGAAACAUCAUAAGAUCCAACUAUAAUAGCAAAGAUCACGGUACAUCAAGAUCAUGCCAUAUCAAGAACACGAGAGAGAGAGAGAGAGAGAGAGAAAGAGAGAGAUCAAACACAAAGUUACUAGUACAUACCUUCAGCCCCGAGGGUGAAAUACUCCCUCCUCGUCAUGGAGAGCGCCAGGAUGAUGAAGAUGGCCACCGGUGAGAGAUCCCCCCUCCGGCAGGGUGCCGGAACAGUGUCCCGAUUGGUUUUUCGUGGCUACAGAGGCUUGCGGCGGCGGAACUCCGGAACAAGGUUUCUUUCUGGGGGUUUAUGUUUUUAUAGGAAUUUUUGGCGUCGGUUUCACGUCAGGGGGGGUCUCCGAGUCGUCCACGAGAUAGGGGGCACGCCCAGGGGGGUAGGGCGCACCCUCCAUCCUCGUGGACGGCUCGGGAUUUUUCUGGCCCAACUCUUUUACUCCAGGGGCUUCUUUUGGUCCAUAAAAGUUCAUGAAAAAUUGGCACGUCAAUUGGACUCCAUUUGGUAUUCCUUUUCUGUAAAACUCAAAAACAAGGAAAAAAGGAGAAACUGGCACUAGGCUCUAGGUUAAUAGGUUAGUCCCAAAAAUCAUAUAAAAUAGCAUAUAAAUGCAUAUAAAACAUCCUAGAUGGAUAAUAUAAUCGCAUGGAACAAUCAAAAAUUAUAGAUACGUUGGAGAUGUAUCAUUGUCCCGAAGGAUCCCAAGCCAGGGAGAGACUCAGGAAGCUGUCAGGGCGGCACCAGAGGGUGGAACCUCAGCCGUCGGGCACAAGAGCAAAUCCCCAUGGAGACUGGCGAUGGGGGCCACAUCCAAUUCAGCCCCUAGCUGAAUACAAUUCCGGAGACCUAUACGGCUCCGGAAUCAGGCAAGCAGCGUCUUUCGAAAGAAGGAGGUGCGCCUAUUCCACCGGCAGCCUCUGUCCAUCCAGAGGCACCGGAUAAUUUGCUGGAAGCCCUGCAAGGCGCUUCCAUUGUUGAGGAACACUGUAUCCUUAUGAGUACGGUGGUUGAGAGGGUGCAGUCUGUUAAGAGCGAACUAACUGACGCAUGUACCAGCCUUCUAACAGGUUUUGAGGUGAGCGACACAGUUAUAUAAAAAGGAAUGUCAUAGUAUAGACAAUAGCCCCUGAGACUCUGUCCGGUGUUCGAAAAGAAAAGCCGAAUAGAGGAUCAAAUAAUUUUCGCAGGAGACUAACCUGACAUGUGUAUAUGAAUAAGUAGGCAUCGUUGCCGGCUGUGACCUCUCAUGCUGCUGAGGUCUCCGUACUGAAGCAGAGUCUGGAGCGGACCGAGGAAGAGCUCGUCCAUGUGAAGAAACAACUGGAAGACAAUCAAGGUAUGCAAUAACCUUGUCUAUAUUCAGGAAGGAUGAAUGAUUUAUGCAGACUAAAGUGCCAUGAUAUUUAUUAGGAGCGGCGACCGAGGUGGAGACCCUCAAGAAGGCGCUGGCCGAGGCCGAGGAGAGAGCAGCCAAGGAACAAGCCGCCCAUGAAAAGCAUGUGGCCAGGGUCGGUGAGGUCCAGCAGGAGCUCCAGGACGCCGUGAAGAAAUGCGAGUCCUUGGAGCGCAACAUUGCGGAUCAAGAGUCCGAACUUUCCAAGGCCCGCCAAAGCGCACAUGAUGCCUGGGUUGAAGCCCAGGGCACCCUCUAGGAAGUCCAGGAUGCCAGAAAAAUCACGGCGGGUAAGACCUUUAUUAUGCAGAUCAAAUAUGUGAAGAAAAGGUUCCUCUUACUGACCUGGAUUUGGAGUUCUCCGGGGGAAUUUGUGGAUCUACCGCGCAACAUUUCAGACGAUGCGGAGUUCUUCCGAGCCGAAGAGGGGAGCUCCACGGAGAAGCUGUUUUGGUCGCAAUACCUUGCGCCAGAACAUCCAGUCCCCUUUAGCGAUCAACUAAAACAGCUGGUCGAACUGCAUAGGGUGGCCGAACUAGCCACGAAGGAUUUAAUAGUUCGGCUAUGGCCUACCGAAGCCAUACCCAGCAACUACUUCGGGCUCGUGAAGCGGCUGGUCAAUGUCUGCCCUCUGCUUGAUACCAUCAAGCAGUCGGUCUGCAUCUAACACUACAAAAAAAGACACAUCCGUGACAUUUUGGGCCGAACGAAAUUUUUUUCUUUCAUACAUAUGACAAUUCUAUGACGAUAAUUGUGACAAAACCCGGUAUCAUCAUAGAUGUGGUGGGCUCCUACUUCUAUGAAAAGAAUCAUGACAAAAAAUGGGCUUUUCGCCCUGGGCGGGCCGGAGACGUAGCUGCAUGACAUUCUUUGGGCCGUCCAUCACGGAAAAAACCGUGGUAGAAGCAAGGGGAAGGAAAAUUUCGGGGAGUUGCCGGUUACGGUGGGAGGUCGGGGUCCGAGCGAUAUGCGCGUUUCUCUCAUACACGUACGCGCGUGUGUGCGAGGCGUUGGCUCUAACUGAACCCGAGCGAGGCAUUGGGCUCUAACUGAACCCGAGCGAUUGCACUGCAGGCUACGCGUUACUGAACCCGAGUGAUCGAUCGAUGGCUGUUAACUGAACCCGGUCGAGCGAUUCCUUCGCUACUGCUGCUAACUGAAGCCGAUCGAUUGGAUGAACAGUGAGCGUUGCGAGGGGGUUUGGAUGAACAGUGAGCGGUGGCAUUGCCUCUGGAUGAACAGGACCCCAUGGUGUGGAGGGCUGGAUGAACAGUAGACGGUGGAGGGGUGGCCGUGGAGGGGUGGUUGAACAGGACCCCGUGGUGUGGAGGGCUGGAUGAAUAGUAGAUGGUGGAGGUGUGCCCAUGGAGGGUUGGUUGAACAGUAGCCAGUGGAGUAGCGCGCGGUGGAGGCUGGAUAAACAGGAGCCCGUGGAGGCUGGAGGAGGUCGACGGUAGCCCGUGGAGGCUGGAGGAGGUCGACGGUAGCCCGUGGAGGCUGGAGGAGGUCGAUGGUGGAGAUGAACAGUAUCCCAUGGAGUCCCGUUUUGCGAUACGCCACACCCCUCCCAAUGAACAUGACCCCCGUUUCGACCGUAGGAGGCCCGUUUCAUCCGUUUUGCGGUACGCCACACCCCUCGCGAUCAACAGGACCCCCGUUUCGACCGUAGGAGGUCCGUUUCGUCCGUUUUGCGGUACGCCACACCCCUCCCGAUCAACAGGACCCCCGUUUCGACCGUAGGAGGUCUGUUUCCUCCAUUUUGUGGUACGCCACACCCCUCCCGAUCAACAGGACCCCCGUUUCGACCGUAGGAGGUCUGUUUCCUCCGUUAUGCGGUAUGCCACACCCCUCUCGAUCAAUAGGACCCCCGUUUCGACCGUAGGAGGUCCGUUUCCUCUGUUUUGCGGUACGCCAGGCCUCGUUUCCAUAGUAUGUUCCGUCCAAGCCCUCCCGAUGAACAUGACCAUGCAUUCCGUUUCGACCGAGCCGGUUGGCUCCCACGCGUUCCAUUGCCUCCCGAUGAACACGACGCAUUCCGUUGCCUCCCCAUGAACACGAUGCAUUCCGUUACCUCCCCAUGAACACGAGCCCUCGCCGUACGUAUGCGCGAGUAGGCGUUCGAGAUCCCGCCCGUAUGUACACAUACGUGGCUGUAUUUUCUUUCUUGCACCCUGGCCGCUGCAGGUACAUGUACAUGCUACGUGCGUGCCUCUACUAUGACACAUGCGCGCCUCUACAUCGACCAGUAUGUAUGUACACGUUCGCGACCAGGAUGACAACGCUACGUACGCUUCGACCAGGUGGGUCCCGACUGUCAGGCACUUCCUUGCCUGCGAAGAUGUAGCUGGUGGGUCCCAGCAGUCAGGGGGGCAAAUUGUUUUGUUUUUUUGUUUGCCCGGACGCACUUCCUUGUGUGCGAAGGUGUAGCUGCUGGGUCCCAGCAGUCAAGGGGGCGAAUCAUUUUUUUGUCCGGACGCACUUCCUUGCGUGCGAAGGUGUAGCUGGUGGGUCCCAGCAGUCGGGGGGCGAAUCGUUUCUUUUGGACGCACUUUCUUGCGUGCGAAGAUGUAGCUGGUGGGUCCCAGCAGUCAGGGGGGCGAAUCGUUUUUUUCGGACGCACUUCCUUGUGUGCGAAGAUGUAGCUCGUGGGUCCCAGCAGUCAGGGGCGAAUCUUUUUUUUCGCGAAAUAUGGUGGCCCAUCCGGUGGGUCCCCGCUGUCAGGUGGAGGAAUAAUUAUUUUGCGCGUAAUAAGGAGGCACUUCCUUGCGGCUGCCGUGGACCCAACUGCCAGCCUCUCCACGUAUAGUCCACGCCCGAUGUAAGUCGUUCGUUGACCACGUUGACCAUGCCGCGCAGAGAGCACCAUUGCGGUGGACGACGACGAGGUCUAGGAAGGGGACAACACGGAGCCGGGGAAGACGCGACAGUGGAUGCACAUGCGGAGAGGAGUACAAGGGUUCACUGGUUCGGCUGCGCUGCCGUCGUCGCGGAAUAACAGGGGGUGUGGGUGAGUGGAGGGAUGGCCUGGCUAGCAGUGGGAGUAGUAGGGGGGCGGUGAGGCCUUCGCGGCAGCACAGCCGGCCACGGGAGGCAGGAGCAGGCGGCACGACCGGUGCUGCUUUGGGCGGCUGGAGCAAGAAGACCAGAGGUUGAAGAAGCACGACGGCCGUUGGAUGGACAUCGUACGGUCACUGCAGCUAGAAUCGUUUAUAUUGACUAUGUUGAGAAAGCCCUUGGUACGUCAACUUAGUAGGCCCUAAUGUCAGCUUCCGAAACGGUGCACCACAGAUGUCAGGGGGAGGAAUCAUUUUUUGGGCGGGUGAAGCUAGAAUAUCCGAGAUUGAAGAAGAAGCACGGCAUCCGUUGGAUGGACAUCCAACGGCCACUACUGCAGGAACCGUGUGUUGACUAUAAGUUGACAAAGCCUUGCAUACGCGUCAACUCUGUUUUUUAGGGGACACGUCAACUUAGUAAGGCCAGAAGUGUGUGGCAGAGAACAUAUAGCCCAUCUGAGAUUUGUAAGAAUGUGUAGCCCAUUUUUGAAUUCUAAUGGAAAUUACUACAGCCCAUUUACAGUUUGUUAAAAAUACAGCACAUUUCAACCAACCGUUCAAAACAGAAUUCAAUAAAAAUUUCCCACAUUUUGAUGGGAUCCGAAUAUUUUUAUCCCAAAAUUUCUAGUCAGAUUAAAUACAAUUUCAAUAUAAAUUUAUAUUAUGUAAAAAUCCAACGAAACAUUGCACUUGCAAAAAUUAAUGAAAUUAAAAUUUUCAAUAUCUAAAAAUAAUAUUUUAUAAAGUAAUCACUGUUUGGUGCAUUUUUUUAUAGUUACUACCCACUUUUUAUAAUUACAUCCCAUUUAUUAUUUCUUAAAGCUCAUUUUCUUGUUAAGCCUAAUGCAUCCCUCCUAGGAAAGAUUUGCAGCCGAGUGGGGCGGAGAAUAACAACUUGACCUUGCCUGGGUAUUCCUAAAAACAAGUAUAGAUGGGCUAGCCAUUUUCAGCUUGAAAAAAAUUAAUAUCUGGGCUGGAUAUCUGGCCUGGGCUAGACGGGCCACAGCCCGCCCAGUUAAUACCUGCAGUGAUGUUUUCGUUGUUGUUCAGAGGAGAAAAAUUAAUAUCUGGGGUAAACAUCGAAAAACUCUACAGUGCUCACACCUCAAAAACACAAAUACUGCUCGAGUUGCUUGGUCCCAGCUGUUGGCCGCUUCUUGUGCAAUUCUCUCGUUUAUUGACUACUCCCUCCUUUCCGGUUUAUAAUGCUCAAUUCAAAAAUCUCACCAAUCAAGGUAGAUGGCGAGUGGUGGAAUACUUUUUGUAGUUUUGCAAAAGCACCUAAUUAAUGCUCUUGUUAUCCUCAAAAAAUUAUGUUUAUCAAUGCAUUAAUUGCAAUGCAUGCAUGCAUAAAGUACAUGCAUUGGUCAAUUUUCUCUUAAUACUUGCAUGCAAUGAUUUAAUGCACCUUGGAAUCUGAACAUGUGAUAGAAAACAACCAAAUUGAGCCUUAUAAAAUGGAAAAACUAAAAUUUUGAGAUAAGCCCUAUAAACCGGAAAGGAGGGAGUACAUAGGUUGACAAUGGUGUGGGACCGUGAUGUCAGGAAACAAGGAGGAAGCAAAAUAAGGAGGCACUUGCGUACGUGAGGCUAUGGACCUAGUGGGUCCCCAUUGUCAUCCUCUCCAAGUAUAGUUAUCUCCUCGCCUGCGCGCGCUUUCCGCUCGAAACAGUCAGCGCCGGCCAUCCCGCUUCCCGGUGCAGGCGAUUGCUCCGCCUUCAAACGACACAAGUGUCGUUCGUCCGUCCAUCUGCCGCACACAUUAAUGGUGCAGGCGGCUACUCCAGCGCCACAUGUCCGUCUCUCCGCCCGCCCACCAUUGCUAUAUAAACUGCUGCGCCGGCCAUAGCCGCAGUCAUCCACAUCUGUUCCCUUUCUCCUGUCCACACCACUACUGCCCACCAUGGCUUCCUCGCGCUCCAGCGCUCUUCGGGACGGGCGGACAACGGACCACAAGGAGAUGGCAACCAUUGCUGUCGACCGGCUGGCCGGCAGGCAGGCGGAGGACGACGACGUCCCAAUGGAGAACAUGGUAGUCGAUGAUCCUGCGCCAAUCCCCUCCUACAUGCCAUCCUUGCCGGUGCAUUGCACCAUGACCAUCGGCGAGGCCCGUGCCCAAUAUAUGGACAGGGUGAGGCAGAUGCAUGAGGAGCAGUUCCGGGAGGCGCAGGCCGAUGCCGCCUACAACCACCAUCUCCUCCAGGAGCACCUGUAGGCGGAGGAGCAGAUCGCCGCAGAGCUGGCGAAGCAGGAGGCGCUGCUCGACUCGUACCGCUUCGCCCGCAAGGGCCGCCUCGAGCGAUGGCGUUACCGCAUGUGGGUGGCGGAGGCUGCGGCCGCCUACAAAGAGGCUAGCAAAGAGGGCGAUGAAGCGGGUGAGGCACUGUUUGGCGAGACCGAGGACGAGGUAGAGGAUAAUGCCGGCUCUGACGAGUCCCCGCUCCGCUGGCGUCGACGAGGCCCUGCUCUGCCGAGGCCCCGCGGCGGCAACAACGAGGCAGAGGACACCCCCGGCUCUGCCGAGGCCCGCAGCACCAACAAGAGGCAGAGGACACCGCCGGCUCCGCCGAUCCCCUGCCCUACCAACAAUGAGGCAGAGGACAUCGCCGGCUCAGCCGAGGCCCCAACCUGCCGGCAACGUGGGGGACAAUUUCCACUUCUCCGCUGAGGCGCCGCCCGCCGGCAACGAGACAGAGGACAUCACCGGCUCCGCAGAGGCCCCGCCCCGCUGCCAAUGAGGCCGCGCCACACAGAAAACGAGGAAGAGUAGAACACGGUAGGUCACCAUCGCUCGGGUCCAAGUAAGGCCACCGCUGCUACCCUCCGGUUGAAGCCAAACUAGGCUGGUGGACCAUUGACAGCCGGUUAGCUUCUUGGCGGCGACGUGGAGUCGGAGAGCUGCACUGGAGAAGAAUGCUGCUUUUACUUAACUGCUGGUGCAGUUGGCUGACUGACACGUGGGCCCAGCAUGCCACAUGUCAGUUACGCAACUGCACCUGCAGUUAAGUCAUUGAAGCUUCUGUUCGGCUCAGCGGGACACAGGUGGGUAGCUUCGGUUAAUUAAUUAUACCUCCAAUGCACCCUUUUUAGUUGAAGAAUGUAUGAAAUGCAAUGAAAUCCGGCAUGUUUAUAUGAAAUCUGACCGUGUAUGAACGAAUUUAUUUCGAUUAGUUCGAAUUCCUGUAUCACUGGCAUUGGAUGAACAUGCAAAACAAUACGUACUAGCAUUAUUCCCAGGGUGAUCACCUCGUUUGCAGCAGUUUCACAUUUACUCCCUCCGGUCCUUUCUAGUCUGCAUACAAGUUUUGUCUGCAGUCAAAGUAUCUCUACUUUGACCAAUCUUAUACAAAAAAGUAUGCACUUUCACAAUGUACGAAGUAAAAAGGAACAGAAGGAGUACAAAGAGUUUGAGCAGCUUUUUAGCGUUUCUGUACAUUGCAAUCAAACACAGAGGCCUGGCAAUUCAUAAAGAACAUUCAAAACAAUCGAUGAUUGUGCAUCUCAGCGACUCACAUGUCAGAGGAAAUAUUUAUUUCAAAACUAAAGAAUAAAGAAAAAAAUGAUCGAUGCUGCUGACAGCAAAGGGCGUCCCAUUCGAAAAUAUCAAACGCAUAUCUUGCUAAAAUCAAUGAGCAAAAUUUGACAAGGUUGUCCCAUUCCAAAAUAUCAAAUGCCUAGGAUUGUGGAAUGGGCAGGGUUUGCCAUCAGUUCGGACAUUGUCAUGACACCUCGUGCUAAAUAAACCAGCUGUUCUUUUUGUGCAGUUCCACCAAAAUCAGCCAAAUUCGCGCGUAGCUUGUAUGAUUUCGCCCUUAUAUGUUGCAACGCCUUGAACUUAUGGGCACCUCCUUUCUUGUGGUGGAAAUGAAUGAUUCGAUGUAUUCAUGAACAUUUUGUGCAGUUCCCAUUGAAAUCAAGCUGAGCACCCCUGUUUGAACAAAUACAAAAAAUUGAUUAGUAUAAAGCAAACUAUACUAUGAAUUGACAGUUUCCACAGGCACAUACAUGGUCCAUGUAGAGCACACUUUUAGAAAAAUGGAACUCACCAGAAAGAAUCCUAGAACAACAUUGUACUCGCGCAUCACAACAAAAACAUGGAGAUUUGUCAGUCCUUCUGAGCUGAAGUUAGUUUGGUCUUGUGGGGAGUAAUGUAACCAUCCUUCAACUGCUCCUUCUGAUGAGAAGAUAGACAUGGCUUUUUCAUCCUGGCAUAAUCGAAACUAGUCACUUCACGUACUCCAUAUUCUUCUUCAGAGGAAGAUGAUCCUGUUGUGCAAAGAGAAGAGGACUACUAAAUGCUAGCAUCCCUGUUUGCUCGAAAAAAAGGAAAGGAAAUAUUUAAAACAACACAGAUGAAGCACUUCUCAAGGACAAUACCACUUUUUCAUGACAGUAUCUAAACAGUAGCACAACACCAAUAGAGAUGACAAAGCUCAAUCAUAUGGAUGAAAUCAGUGGGCGAGUACCAACCUUUGUCAGGAGGCUGAUUGUGUAGAGCAUACAGAUGAAGCACUUCUCCGGAACCAUCUGUUGCUAUCUACGGGGGUGGCCAUGCUUACUAUAUACUCCUCGAUUAGUUUAAUGUUUCCAACAUCUUCUUGUGCAGUUCCACUAAAACAUAUGGUAUCUUCAAAGAAGAUCCCUAUUUGCACAAGUAGAGAUAAUUACGUAUGGCAUCAAAUCAGUGGCAAAACAAUUACUCAUUCCAGCCAUAACAAUAAACUAAGAUGCAAAACUAUGUCAUUACUUGUGUCAUCACAGUUCCAGUGCUUCAUUACAGCACCAGGAGUUGAUUUUUGUUUUUCUUCCGCUUGUUCUUCCCCUUCAUCACUUGGUUCAAUAACAGACAAGCUUCGCCUUCAAUGUAAGAUUUGGCAUGUCAAUUAGGGAGCACAAGUAUAGUACUAAACUUAAUUUUCUGAUGAAAGUGGCAAAAUACAGGCCAUCAGUUGUGAAAUAUACUUAUCUCACCUCAAUGGGAUAUUACGGUGCACAUACAGAUUGGAAGUCUUGUCUCCAUUUGUGCAGUUCACUAAAAUCAAGCAACAUUAUCGUACAAGUAGCACAACAUAUGAAAGCACACUGCAGAAUCAUGUGAAAGAAGGCUAGUACUGACCUCUCAUGAUGCGGAAUUCAAACAACUCACAAGAAGAAUAUCUGAACCAAAUUUGGCUUAACAGAUAGGAAGUAAGAUCUCCUCUUGUGCAGUUCCACUAAGAUCAAGCAAUCAAGCAACAUUGUCGGUGUGACAUUUUGGUUGAACUGCAAAAAACACUCUUAAAACAAAAGUGUUUUGUGCAGUGCAACAAAAGGUCACAAUGGCAACGAGGUGAAGUAGAUAAUCCUGUUUACAUAGAGGUGCAAAGGAAACAAUUAGUGGUUAAUAACAGUGGAUGACACAGAAGCCAACAAAGAAGCAUCUACCUUAUCUAAAUGGGAAAGAAAGCAAGACAGUAGCACUUCUCAAAUGGUGGCAUUGAUUAAUAUUAACAUAUAGAUUAUAUUAACAAUAAAAUUCGUUAAACAUGUAAUUUGCUUUUAACUGUGGCAUUGCAUCAAUUUUCCAGCGGCAUUAUUAGAGGGUGUUUGUUUACAGGGACAUUUUGGUAUCGGGACUAAAAAAACUCCGUGUCAGUCCCAUCUAAAGCAAACAGGAGGGACUUUUAGGGACUAAAAGUGGGCAUUUGGGACUAAAGAAAGAAGACCCCGAGAGAGUCUUUUUGGGACUUUUUCCAAUAGUUGCCCCUGCCACGCCUCGCACCUUGUUUCUAUUAGUUCAUUACUAGGGGUAACAUGGUCUUUUAGCAUAUCAUUUAAUAACCUCUAGUCCAUGUUUAUUCCCUGGAACCAAGCAGGUAGGGACUGGGGAGUUUUUAACCAAACAGGGCCGUAGAUUAACAACAGCUAAUGAGUUGCACGGGACAGUGGACGCACCAGCACCAUGUGCAUCUACCGAUGUUCUGUGGUCAUGCACAGUCUAUUACAACAAAGAACAAACAACCAAGGAGCAUAUUUGUGUUGGUCCCAGUUUUGUUAUCUUUAGACACAUUUCCCUAUGUGAGCGCAGCAAAUCUAGUCCUGCUCAAACUCUACAGCCUUGUCCCUUACUUUCCUUUUUGAACUAGUACUUUCGCCCCUUCCUUUCCUCUUUGAACCACGUCCUAGAUUUAUGCUAUACAACUUUCCCCACUACUUUCCCCCAUUCCUUUCCUCUUUGAACCACGUCCUAGAUUCAUGCUAUACAACUUUCCCCCUUCAUUUCCUCUUUGAACCACGUCCUAGAUUCAUGCUAUAUACAACUUUUCCCACUACUUUCCCCCACUCCUUUUCUCCUUGAACCACGUCCUAGAUUCAUGGUAUACAUACAGCUAGAGCAAUGCAUGUGGAGUAGGUAAAAUAUACCUUAAGGUUCUUGGGGCGUGGUUCGGUGGGCAACGGGACCAAGAAGAAGAAGAAGGGGUCAGAGGCCCUCCCGCGCCGCCGCUGGGUGGAAAGUGAACAGCUGCGCCGGUAGUGGAUUCCCUCCCUCGCCGACGACGACAGCGUUAAGCCUCCUUCCCUUCCUGGCGGACGGAUCCUGCCGGCUCUUUGAGCAGCAGUGAGGGGAGAGAGCGGCCAACGAUGUCUUGUUUUGAUCUGCAGAGGGCGAGAGAGUGUGAAUAGAGCAACUACAAGCACUGAGGCUCCAGCGGGAGAGGGCGAGAGAGUGUGAAGAGAGCAACUACAAGUGCGGAGGCUCCAACGUGUAUAUAUAUACUGGAGAGAGAGUGUGAAGCAUGCAAACCCUAGAAAACAUUUUGACCAGUCAAAGAAUCCUCCUAGCAAAAAUUAUGCUCAAGUGUAGUUAUCAAACCCGAGACCUCAAGUUUGAUGAGCGAACAGGCUAACCAGCUACACAACCCUUCCGUUAUGUUUAACGAGAGGAAAAUAACCUUUUAUACAUUCCUGCAUUCGUGUGACAAGCAUGCCGUGUUUUUUUGUGUGUGUGGGAGUCAUUGGGAUUUCAAUCAUAAUCGUGUCAUGUGGCUUUGGUGGUAAGACUAUCCACAGUGGUGCAGAAAUAAUGCAGCCAUAGUCACCUUACCUCUCUCCAUGUAGGACGUUGGGUCCCACCAGUCAGAGGGUGAAACAAAACAAAUUAAUAAGAAAAAAUAAAAGCGCCAGCGGUGUAUCUUACCUCACACAUCUCACUACUGCUCGGGAACACUGUCCAAUUGAUCCCUCUGUUCGCUCACAUACUAUUUUAUGUGAAUCCUUAUUAUAACAUGCACACAAAUUUUGGGCACUUGUAUUCGACUUAAGUCAGUGUGCCACCGUAUCUCGUAUACUUACUACUCCCUCCGUCUAGGUGUAAUAAGUCACAUUAGAAGGUGCAACGGGACCAAGGUGCAUGCGUGUGCGUGUGUGUGUUAAACAGCAUGUGUGUUAGAGAGUGCGACAGAUCGACCUACUCCUACAGAGACAUGGUGUGUAGUGUAUGAUUUUAGCCGUGAGAGUCGGUGCAUCCUCUCAUUUCCGGGCGUGUCUGGUAGGGACAUGCGGACAGCUGCCAUGCCCGCUCCUGACCAGCCUGGCCCACCCAAAGCCCCUCCAUCGCCCGCGCGCGCUUCCCGCCUGAAACGGUCAGCGCGCUCCAAAUAAUCGGUGCCGCAUUCAUGCCCGGGCAGAGCGGACGCGACCUCUCACUAGCGCAAGAGUGAUGGUUGCUUCGUCCGUCCAACUUACUGCUGGGUCUAUGUGAUUUGACGACUCAUUGGUCUUUAUUACUGAGGUGGUAGGACUGCUGGAUGUCCCACGCUUUCGACGAAAGGAGGUACUACUACUACUAGAUUAUAAUUUUCUCCAUUCUUACAGCGGAGGAGUGCAAGAGCAGUGAAAACACGCAUGCUCAGUGAUUACAUGGCCCACCUCACACUAUCACCAUGCGACACCUAACUCUUUACAUAGUACUCCCUCCAUUCCUAAAUAUUACUAGAUGAGUCCCCGCGCAUUGCCGCGGAACAGCGGUAUAUCUCUCUGCGCAAAAUUAUCAAUUUCAUAGAACAAAAAAAA